Molecule: ribosomal RNA, 675 nt
Filed under: uncultured bacterium
Lineage: Bacteria
Description: bacterial SSU rRNA
Rfam family: Bacterial small subunit ribosomal RNA
Source: RNAcentral
GAGUUUGAUCCUGGCUCAGGACGAACGCUGGCGGCGUGCUUAACACAUGCAAGUCGAACGGAAAGGCCCUGCUUUUGUGGGGUGCUCGAGUGGCGAACGGGUGAGUAACACGUGAGUAACCUGCCCUUGACUUUGGGAUAACUUCAGGAAACUGGGGCUAAUACCGGAUAGGAGCUCCUGCUGCAUGGUGGGGGUUGGAAAAUUUUCGGCGGUUGGGGAUGGACUCGCGGCUUAUCAGCUUGUUGGUGGGGUAGUGGCUUACCAAGGCUUUGACGGGUAGCCGGCCUGAGAGGGUGACCGGCCACAUUGGGACUGAGAUACGGCCCAGACUCCUACGGGAGGCAGCAGUGGGGAAUAUUGCACAAUGGGCGGAAGCCUGAUGCACCAACGCCGCGUGCGGGAUGACGGCCUUCGGGUUGUAAACCGCUUUCGCCUGUGACGAAACGUGAGUGACGGUAAUGGGUAAAGAAGCACCGGCUAACUACGUGCCAGCAGCCGCGGUGAUACGUAGGGUGCGAGCGUUGUCCGGAUUUAUUGGGCGUAAAGGGCUCGUAGGUGGUUGAUCGCGUCAGAAGUGUAAUCUUGGGGCUUAACCCUGAGCGUGCUUUCUAUACUGGUUGACUUGAGGAAGGUAGGGGACAAUGGAAUUCCUGGUGGAGCGGUGGAAUGCGCACA